GGACUUCAAAUCCGUAGUCGAUUUGCGUCGAAGUGGUUCGAUUCCACCUGGGGGGCGAAUAUUAAUGGAGUUGCAUUCUUAAACUUU
This 87-nucleotide transfer RNA is filed under the name Drosophila melanogaster (fruit fly). RNAcentral describes it as "tRNA-OTHER". The record is from RNAcentral. Lineage: Eukaryota; Metazoa; Arthropoda; Insecta; Diptera; Drosophilidae.